This 1101-nucleotide long non-coding RNA is filed under the name Homo sapiens (human). RNAcentral describes it as "HSALNT0345498". Lineage: Eukaryota; Metazoa; Chordata; Mammalia; Primates; Hominidae. The record is from RNAcentral.
CAGAGCUUCCCCUGAAGAUUGGAGGGGAUGAGUCAGGGGCAAGGAAGGAUUAACAGAUUCUGCCUCAAGUCCUGGUGAACCAACUCCUCUCCCCAAGACAGACACAUACUAGUGAAAUAAAUUGGAUUUAAAUCAUCACCUGAGGCAAUCCUGAAAGAGAAAAGCAGUCCUAGAAAAGAGUGGAGGAAAAGAGGACAGCCCCAUUCUCUUUGUGACCACGAAGACUGCCGCCAUGUGGUUGGGAGCCACGUAACUUCUUUUAGUGCCAGCUGAGAUUCUUCUGCCCUGGAACUAGUUCCUCCGAGUUAUUGCCAGGCCUGGAGAUUGAAUUCCUGCAGCUGGAAGGUGGGGAAAGUUGCCAGAGCGAAGGAAGUAAAAGCAUCCACUAUGAGAUUCACCAGAGGGGUUUGACCAGCUUUAGAAGGAGAAUCCUGGACAACAACACAUGCAGCUGUGAAGGCGACAAGUGUGACACUGACAGCCAACUGAAAUGGAAGGAAUGUGAAGAUGCUGUCAUAAACAUUUCUACCGCAUGUGACAGCUUUAACAAUACUUGCAAGGUCGUCAUCGCAAAAUGUUGUGAGCACCUACCAUAUGCCAGGCACUGUUCAGUGAACUGGUUGUACAGGAGUGAAUGAGAUCAUCUUGAUUUUGAGAAGUUUAUAAUCUACUCAAGGGAAACACGUGUAAUCAACUAUGUUUCAGACAUAACCCCUCAAAACCAAAGCAGAACCUCUUCAAGGAGCUGAGAGAUGCAAGCCUGACCAAACACUGCUCCAAAGCUGGAUGAGAUGUUUUUCCUCUUACCGUCCCCAAGCCUGGCCAAGUACAGGCACCUGGAGGCAACUCAGCAAGGACCUAUUGGGUGAACAGCAAAUAAAUAAAGUAUCUCCUUGAUUAGCAUUAGGCAAGAAUUAUUCAUUAUCAUGCAAUAUGAGUCAUUCAACUGGGGCAAGGAAAGAUGCUGGAAAGGGAAAGUAGUAUUUUUUUAGGGUCUAUUGUGUUAUUCAUGUAAAAUAGCUUGCAUGGUACCUUUUGCAUGCCUGGAACUCUUUACAUGGUGGCUGUUUUUAUGUUCUUAUUAAUUUUUGCUAACUUCAG